This 492-nucleotide ribosomal RNA is filed under the name uncultured bacterium. Its description in RNAcentral is "partial 16S ribosomal RNA". It matches the Rfam family "Bacterial small subunit ribosomal RNA", at positions 29 to 507 of the family's 1533-position model. The record is from RNAcentral.
AGUGAACGCUGGCGGUAGGCCUAACACAUGCAAGUCGAACGGCAGCACAGUAAGAGCUUGCUCUUACGGGUGGCGAGUGGCGGACGGGUGAGGAAUACAUCGGAAUCUACUUUUUCGUGGGGGAUAACGUAGGGAAACUUACGCUAAUACCGCAUACGACCUACGGGUGAAAGCAGGGGAUCUUCGGACCUUGCGCGAUUGAAUGAGCCGAUGUCGGAUUAGCUAGUUGGCGGGGUAAAGGCCCACCAAGGCGACGAUCCGUAGCUGGUCUGAGAGGAUGAUCAGCCACACUGGAACUGAGACACGGUCCAGACUCCUACGGGAGGCGGCAGUGGGGAAUAUUGGACAAUGGGCGCAAGCCUGAUCCAGCCAUACCGCGUGGGUGAAGAAGGCCUUCGGGUUGUAAUGCCCUUUUGUUGGGAAAGAAAAGCAGCAGGUUAAUACCCCGCUGUUCUGACGGUACCCAAAGAAUAAGCACCGGCUAACUUCGUG